This 459-nucleotide ribosomal RNA is filed under the name uncultured bacterium. Its description in RNAcentral is "partial 16S ribosomal RNA". It matches the Rfam family "Bacterial small subunit ribosomal RNA", at positions 338 to 795 of the family's 1533-position model. The record is from RNAcentral.
CCUACGGGAGGCAGCAGUGAGGCAUAUUGGUCAAUGGCCGGAAGGCUGAACCAGCCAAGCCGCGUGAAGGACGAAGGUGCCAAGCAUUGUAAACUUCUUUUGUCAAGGGACAAAAUCAGGCUCGAGAGCCUGACCGAGGGUACUUGAAGAAAAAGCAUCGGCUAACUCCGUGCAAGCAGCCGCGGUAAUACGGAGGAUGCGAGCGUUAUCCGGAUUUAUUGGGUUUAAAGGGUGCGUAGGCGGGCUGUUAAGUCAGCGGUAAAAGCCCGGGGCUAAACCCCGGCGAGCCGUUGAAACUGGCUGUCUUGAGAUGUCGAGAGGUAUGCGGAAUGCGCAGUGUAGCGGUGAAAUGCUUAGAUAUUGCGCAGAACUCCGAUUGCGAAGGCAGCAUACCGGCGGCGAUCUGACGCCGAGGCACGAAAGCGUGGGUAUCGAACAGGAUUAGAUACCCUUGUAGUC